This 893-nucleotide long non-coding RNA is filed under the name Lepisosteus oculatus (spotted gar). RNAcentral describes it as "lncRNA (ENSLOCG00000023160.1)". The record is from RNAcentral. Lineage: Eukaryota; Metazoa; Chordata; Actinopteri; Semionotiformes; Lepisosteidae.
UUGACACAAAUCAAGUCAGUCGUGUGGUGAAAUUUUAAGUGUCUGUUGUGUUCGUACUGAGUACGCUUUUGAAGGAGUUUUGACCUCUUCACAAGAAACUUUAACUGCAAAGUUUACUGAACUGAACUUUGCCUUCUCUAGGAACAUUAGCCUCAGGUAUUGUUAUAUUAACAUCAACUGUCUCGUGUUUCUAAGAUCCUGUAUUGUUAUGUGAUGCUAUCUAAGGCUCUAUGGUUUUUGUAUAUUUUUUUAGAUGAAGUUCAGUUUUGGUUUAUUUACAGAUAAUCAAAUAUGCAUCUCAAGUAAGAGUGAAGACUGCAUCUGUGGUGUAUAUUCAGAUUACAGUGUAUAUUGAAUUAUGGUGCAAAUUAAAAUUUCAAUAGAGAAAUGGUUCAUUUAAACUUGAUGGUUCAGUGGCCUUAAGUUCUUUUUAGUAACAAGUCCAUCCUAAAUGUAACAGAUCUAUCAAAAAUGCUGUGUGUAUUUCAGAGAUGUGAAAGCAAACAGAAUACUACCGAUGACAUGGACUGUGAACACCUUUACUGUAGAGACAUCCAAGGGAAACAGAAGGAAUUGCAUCAACACCACAGAGCCCAGUACCUUCGGAUAGCAGGGCCUUAAAGGAGAUUCGGUUCUGGUUCUUUGUGUCACAUCUCCUUUCCCGCAUCUCGAGAACAGACCCCAGGAGGACAACAGAACCCCACUGGUAAGUACACGCAGGGAGCUGAGAGGAAUAAAAACACAAGUGGUCGGCGUGGAGAGUUUUCCACUGUGGCAGGUUGCUUUGAUCAGCUUCAGUUUCUCAAGAUGGCAUUGUCAAUCAAAAUCUCCUUCAGCACCAGACCGUCAAUGGCAGGAGAAUCUAUAAGACAUGCAUGAAUAAUACACUAUUG